This 72-nucleotide transfer RNA is filed under the name Bos taurus (domestic cattle). It matches the Rfam family "tRNA". Rfam says of the family: Transfer RNA (tRNA) molecules are approximately 80 nucleotides in length. Their secondary structure includes four short double-helical elements and three loops (D, anti-codon, and T loops). RNAcentral also lists the same sequence under 2 other names. Lineage: Eukaryota; Metazoa; Chordata; Mammalia; Artiodactyla; Bovidae. The record is from Rfam by way of RNAcentral.
UCCCUGAUCGCUCAGUUGGUAAAGAAUCUGCCUGCAAUGCAGGAGAACCCGGUUCAAUUCCGGGGUUGGGAA